GUAGUUCUGCAGCUGCCAAGCUUGUCAUUCUUCCUCCUGCACACCCAGCUAUUUGGGUACUGCAAAUGCCAGGUGAGGUACCUCAGUUUCUACCAGUCCUGCUCUUCUUGCCCUCCAGGUACAGGGUAGGUGUGGGGCAGGUAGCCAGGGAGAGAUGAGGUGUCUCCCAAGCUAAGGAUUGCUGAGAUUGGACUGCAGCUGAAUCAGGGCAUUAACCCAUCUGGAACAAAAAGCUCAGUUGGAUCAAAGGAAAGACACCACACCAAGGGAAUCUAAGUAACCAGAAUGUGGCCUCUGCUCAGAUGCAAGACAGUUUCUCUCCCUCAUCAAAGUUAGAUCAAGUGGCCCCCACCUCUUCCUGUUCUCUGCAUUAUCUGUUUAAGACCUACCACAAACCCAGCCACAAAUUAGAAAAUUAACUCUCCUGGAAAUUCAUAGUUGGAGUCAUCCAGAGAAGACUUCUGGGAUCAAAAAGUUGAAGCCUUAAUUCAGAAUUGAAGACCAAAGGGUAUGGCCUUCCGGGAGCAUGGCCUUCAGGGAGCCCUCAGGGAGCCAGUCUGAGUCUGACCACUUUCUAUACUGCUUUGUGUUGGAGGAAGGAAAUGUCCUCUGUUAAAGUAUUUGAACAGAAAAAGAAGAUAGAAUUAGGUAAAAGGUUGCUAUAAGGGAACCUGAAAACACUCUACUACCGCUCAAUAACCCCUGUGGGGUGAACCCAGAAUCUUGCAAAAAGGAGACAACGCACCAGGUAUUUUCUCUCAUCUAGACCCACUUCGGUACACCUCUUCCCUCCCUGCCUCCAGUACUGUCACACACUCAGGUCUGGUGGUUUGUUCACCCUGAUUUCCUGGAAACUCCACCUACCAUCCAACCUCUCCCAGGUCCACUCAUCUGGCUGCAGCCAGAGACC
Molecule: long non-coding RNA, 910 nt
Filed under: Marmota monax (woodchuck)
Lineage: Eukaryota; Metazoa; Chordata; Mammalia; Rodentia; Sciuridae
Source: RNAcentral